AUGCUUCUCCUCCGCCCGCUCCCGCUCACGCUCCCUGCCCCGGCCCUGCGGGCCAGGCCCGCGGCCCUGGGGCCGCGGCCUCGGAGGCGCCCGCCGCGUCCUCGCGCCGCCUCCGCCUACGGCGCCGGUGGUGUCUCGGAGGAGGACGCCUUCACCAGGUGCUCGGGGUACCUGUUCGAGGAGGGGCUGGCGACCGAGGGGGACCUCCCCACCGCGUACGACAUCCCCGGCAUCGCUAGAGUGUACGGCCGCCGCCCGCUCCUCGUGCUCCGCCGCUCGCUGCAGAUCGGGACCUCCUUCGGCCGCUGGUUCGCUCUGCGCUACCUCGACAGCCUCAACGACCGCGCCGACGACAUGUUCGAGGUCAGGGCUGCUCAGCUCAGGAGGAUUCUACUGGAGCUUGGCCCGGCAUUUGUGAAGAUCGCACAAGCAGUUUCCUCACGGCCGGAUGUGAUUCCUCCUGCAUACCUCGAUGAACUUUCACUACUUCAAGACCGCAUAGCACCAUUUUCCACUGAGCUUGCUUUCGAUAUUAUAGAAAAGGAGCUUCAGAUGCCACUCGACAUGAUUUUCUCUGAAAUGUCACCAGUGCCUGUUGCUGCUGCAUCUCUUGGGCAGGUUUACCAGGCUAGGUUACGUUCCAAUGGGAAGUUAGUUGCCGUAAAAGUACAAAGGCCUGGAGUCCAAGCCGUAAUUUCCUUGGAUAUCUAUAUCUUGAGGUUCCUCGCUGGUGUUGCCAGGAAGGUUGGCAAGUUCAACACAGACCUUCAGGCUGUCCUUGAUGAAUGGGCGUCAAGUUUAUUUCGGGAGAUGGAUUAUAGAGAAGAAGCGAGAAAUGGACUUAAGUUCAGGGAAUUAUAUGGGAAACUUAGAGAUGUGAUGGUUCCAGAAAUGUAUCUGGAGCAGACGAGAAGACGAGUCCUUAUCAUGGAAUGGGUUGAGGGGGAAAGGUUGUCUGAAGUUAGAGAUCAAUAUCUGGUUGAGGUUGGAGUAUACUGUUCACUUUCCCAGCUUUUGGAAUAUGGAUUUUAUCAUGCAGACCCACAUCCUGGAAAUCUUCUACGCACAGUUGAUGGGAAGCUAGCAUACUUAGAUUUUGGAAUGAUGGGAGAAUUCCGACAAGAACUCCGUGAUGGAUUUAUUGAAGCUUGUCUACAUCUUGUUAACCGGGAUUUUGAUGGUUUAGCAAAAGAUUUUGUUACUCUUGGUUUGCUUCCUGCAACUGCUCAGAAAGAUGAAGUGACAAAGGCAUUGACAGGUGUAUUUGAAAGUGCAGUUAACAAAGGAGUUCAAAAUAUAAGCUUUGGAGAUCUGUCAGGGAAUCUUGGGCAAACAAUGUAUAAAUUCAAGUUCCAGAUACCUUCAUACUUCUCUCUUGUAAUCCGAAGUCUUGCUGUCUUGGAAGGCAUUGCAAUCAGCUUCAAUCCCAACUACAAAGUCUUGAGCAGUUCAUACCCAUGGAUUGCAAGAAAAGUUCUCACUGACAACUCACCUAACCUUCGGUCAACAUUGUACACGCUACUUUAUAAGGAUGGCACUUUCCAGAUUGACCGUUUGGAGUCUUUGUUAACCGAGUCGCUCCGGGCAAGAACAGAGCAGACCUUGGUCAGAACUCAACAAGAUGAAAGUGAUAGUUCAAGAUUUGCAAUUAAACAAGUGCUGUCAUUUACACUCACUGAACAGGGUGCCUUUGUGAAGGAUUUACUUCUUCAGGAGAUUGCUAAGGGACUAGAUGCACUUGGAGUGGCCACAUUAAGUUCUGUAACGUCCGCUGCAGCCUCAAGAUUGCCAUUUGCACCAUCCCCAUCACCAUCACUGAACAACGAGGAGGCCACUAACUUGAGAAACCUCUACCGCCUUCUCCUACUUGUAGCUAAGACUCCUCAAAAGGAAAACUCAUCACGGGCUUCUGGAUAUGAAAGCACUGGGGAGAAAGGAGAUGAUGGCGCAGAUGAUAUGUCUCUUGUGUUAAAUGAGAUGAGGUCUUUUCCAGAGUUUCUGCCAGUUCUUUCUGUCGUUCCUGAGCUUUCACCAGAGUCCCAACAGCAGUUUCUCCUCCUGCCUGCGGAUUUAACUAAUCUUGUUUUAUCUCGUGCUGUUGCAAGAACCAUCAGAAGAAUGUUCAUAUGA
This 2130-nucleotide ribosomal RNA is filed under the name Triticum aestivum (bread wheat). RNAcentral describes it as "partial small subunit ribosomal RNA". Lineage: Eukaryota; Viridiplantae; Streptophyta; Magnoliopsida; Poales; Poaceae. The record is from RNAcentral.